UGGGGAAUAUUGCACAAUGGAGGGAACUCUGAUGCAGCGACGCCGCGUGAACGAAGAAGGCUUUCGAGUCGUAAAGUUCUUUUAUAUGGGAAGAUAAUGACGGUACCAUAAGAAAAAGCCCCGGCUAACUACGUGCCAGCAGCCGCGGUAAUACGUAGGGGGCUAUCGUUGUCCGGAAUCACUGGGCGUAAAGGGUUCGCAGGCGGAAAUGCAAGUCAGGUGUAAAAGGCAGUAGCUUAACUACUGUAAGCAUUUGAAACUGCAUAUCUUGAGAAGAGUAGAGGUAAGUAGAAUUUUUAGUGUAGCGGUGAAAUGCGUAGAUAUUAAAAAGAAUACCGGUGGCGAAGGCGACUUACUGGGCUCAUUCUGACGCUGAGGAACGAAAGCGUGGGUAGCAAACAGG
Molecule: ribosomal RNA, 403 nt
Filed under: Verrucomicrobiota bacterium
Lineage: Bacteria; Pseudomonadati; Verrucomicrobiota
Description: Verrucomicrobia bacterium partial 16S ribosomal RNA
Rfam family: Bacterial small subunit ribosomal RNA
Source: RNAcentral